UACGGAGGGGGCGAGCGUUAUUCGGAAUUAUUGGGCGUAAAGGGCGCGUAGGCGGCUUGACAAGUCAAAGGUGAAAUCCCUCGGCUCAACUGAGGAACUGCCUUUGAAACUGUCUGGCUUGAGGCCGGGAGGGGGUAGCGGAAUUCCCAGUGUAGCGGUGAAAUGCGUAGAUAUUGGGAAGAACACCGGAGGCGAAGGCGGGUUGCUGGGCCGACACUGACGCUGAGGCGCGAAAGCCAGGGGAGCAAACGGG
Molecule: ribosomal RNA, 253 nt
Filed under: uncultured bacterium
Lineage: Bacteria
Description: partial 16S ribosomal RNA
Rfam family: Bacterial small subunit ribosomal RNA
Source: RNAcentral